This 477-nucleotide ribosomal RNA is filed under the name uncultured bacterium. RNAcentral's name for it is "bacterial SSU rRNA". It matches the Rfam family "Bacterial small subunit ribosomal RNA", at positions 627 to 1102 of the family's 1533-position model. The record is from RNAcentral.
GCGAUACUGUAGAGCUAGGAAUUAGGUUGCUGUGGGCCGGAAAUGUGUGGUGUAGCGGUGAAAAUGCUUAGAGAUCACACAGAAUAUCGAUUGCGAAAGGCAGCUCACAAAGCCUAAAUUGACGCUGAGGCACGAAAGUGUGGGGAUCGAACAGGAUUAGAUACCUUGGUAGUCCACACUGUAAACGAUGAUAACUCGCUGUCGGCGAUAUACAGUCGGUGGCCAAGCGAAAGCGAUAAGUUAUCCACCUGGGGAGUACGACCGCAAGGUUGAAACUCAAAGGAAUUGACGGGGGCCCGCACAAGCGGAGGAACAUGUGGUUUAAUUCGAUGAUACGCGAGGAACCUUACCCGGGCUCGAACGGUGCAUGAAUGUCAGAGAGAUUUGACAGUCCUUCGGGACAUGUAUCGAGGUGCUGCAUGGUUGUCGUCAGCUCGUGCCGUGAGGUGUCGGCUUAAGUGCCAUAACGAGCGCAAC